RNAcentral lists this ribosomal RNA (238 nucleotides) under uncultured bacterium. Its description in RNAcentral is "partial 16S ribosomal RNA". It matches the Rfam family "Bacterial small subunit ribosomal RNA", at positions 540 to 776 of the family's 1533-position model. The record is from RNAcentral.
GUUGUUCGGAUUUACUGGGCGUAAAGGGCGCGUAGGCGGCCAGCACAAGUCAGUUGUGAAAUCUCCGGGCUUAACUCGGAAAGGUCAACUGAUACUGUGCGACUAGAGUGCGGAAGGGGCAACUGGAAUUCUCGGUGUAGCGGUGAAAUGCGUAGAUAUCGAGAGGAACACCUGCGGCGAAGGCGGGUUGCUGGGCCGACACUGACGCUGAUGCGCGAAAGCCAGGGGAGCGAACGGG